CAAGUCGAACGGUAACAGGCCCGCAAGGGUGCUGACGAGUGGCGGACGGGUGAGGAAUACAUCGGAAUUUGCCCAUGUCGUGGGGGAUAACGUAGGGAAACUUACGCUAAUACCGCAUACGACCGAGAGGUGAAAGCGGGGGAUCCGUAAGGACCUCGCGCGAUUGGAUGAGCCGAUGUCGGAUUAGCUAGUUGGCGGGGUAAAGGCCCACCAAGGCGACGAUCCGUAGCUGGUCUGAGAGGAUGAUCAGCCACACUGGGACUGAGACACGGCCCAGACUCCUACGGGAGGCAGCAGUGGGGAAUAUUGGACAAUGGGGGCAACCCUGAUCCAGCAAUGCCGCGUGUGUGAAGAAGGCCUUCGGGUUGUAAAGCACUUUUAUCCGGAACGAAACGCGCAGGGUGAAUAGCCCGGCGAACUGACGGUACCGGAGGAAUAAGCACCGGCUAACUUCGUGCCAGCAGCCGCGGUAAUACGAAGGGUGCAAGCGUUACUCGGAAUUACUGGGCGUAAAGGGUGCGUAGGUGGUUUUUUAAGUCCGUUGUGAAAUCCCUGGGCUCAACCUGGGAAUGGCAGUGGAUACUGGAAAGCUAGAGUGCGGUAGAGGGUAGUGGAAUUCCCGGUGUAGCAGUGAAAUGCGUAGAGAUGCCCAGGAACACCAGUGGCGAAGGCGGCUACCUGGACCAGCACUGACACUGAGGCACG
RNAcentral lists this ribosomal RNA (705 nucleotides) under uncultured Gammaproteobacteria bacterium. RNAcentral describes it as "bacterial SSU rRNA". It matches the Rfam family "Bacterial small subunit ribosomal RNA", at positions 58 to 755 of the family's 1533-position model. The record is from RNAcentral. Lineage: Bacteria; Pseudomonadati; Pseudomonadota; Gammaproteobacteria.